RNAcentral lists this ribosomal RNA (492 nucleotides) under uncultured bacterium. RNAcentral describes it as "partial 16S ribosomal RNA". It matches the Rfam family "Bacterial small subunit ribosomal RNA", at positions 29 to 507 of the family's 1533-position model. The record is from RNAcentral.
AGUGAACGCUGGCGGUAGGCCUAACACAUGCAAGUCGAACGGCAGCACAGUAAGAGCUUGCUCUUACGGGUGGCGAGUGGCGGACGGGUGAGGAAUACAUCGGAAUCUACUUUUUCGUGGAGGAUAACGUAGGGAAACUUACGCUAAUACCGCAUACGAUCUACGGGUGAAAGUAGUGGAUCUUCGCACCUUGCGCGAUUGAAUUAGCCGAUGUCGGAUUAGCUAGUCGGCUGGGUAAAGGCCCACCAAGGCGACGAUCCGUAGCUGGUCUGAGAGGAUGAUCAGCCACACUGGAACUGAGACACGGUCCAGACUCCUACGGGAGGCAGCAGUGGGGAAUAUUGGACAAUGGGCGCAAGCCUGAUCCAGCCAUACCGCGUGGGUGAAGAAGGCCUUCGGGUUGUAAAGCCCUUUUGUUGGGAAAGAAAAGCAGCAGGUUAAUACCCCGCUGUUCUGACGGUACCCAAAGAAUAAGCACCGGCUAACUUCGUG